Molecule: small nuclear RNA, 107 nt
Organism: Arvicola amphibius (Eurasian water vole)
Lineage: Eukaryota; Metazoa; Chordata; Mammalia; Rodentia; Cricetidae
Source: RefSeq, a predicted model, not a curated record
GUGCUCACUUUGACAGCACACAUACCAAAACUGGAACAAUACAGAGAAGAUUGGCAUGGCCCCUUGGCAAGGAUGACAUGCAAAUUCAUGAAGUGGUCCAUAUUUUU